GGGUCAAUGAUGAGAACUCAUAUAAUCCCGAAGACAGAUGAAGACCUAAAAAUUAUGCUCAAUAGGAUUACACUGAGGCCC
The sequence is a small nucleolar RNA, 81 nucleotides long. Its record names the gene SNORD115. It matches the Rfam family "Small nucleolar RNA SNORD115". Rfam says of the family: HBII-52 is a member of the C/D class of snoRNAs, which contain the C (UGAUGA) and D (CUGA) box motifs. HBII-52 is encoded in a tandemly repeated array with another C/D snoRNA, HBII-85, in the Prader-Willi syndrome (PWS) region of chromosome 15. The record is from Ensembl.